Long non-coding RNA from Lagopus muta (rock ptarmigan), 9666 nucleotides. RefSeq lists it as uncharacterized. The transcript is spliced from 3 exons. NCBI's taxonomy places the organism in Eukaryota, Metazoa, Chordata, Aves, Galliformes, Phasianidae. The record is from RefSeq and is a predicted model, not a curated record.
AUUUAACACUUCUGUCUCUUAAAUAGAAUAUCACAUUUGGACAAAUACCUUUCUCAGUAAAACCAGCUGCUGCUGAAAAUUCCUGCCAGACCCAUGCUUUGAUAGACAGGGCAGUCUGGGACAACACUAAACUGAACUGGUGGAUGUAAAUAUCUAGAUGCUCAAGUCUGUGGGAUAAAUUUCUCCAGAGAAAGUACUAGGGAAACCAUAAUUUAUAAUAUGCAUUGGUGAAUAAGGACUUAUUUCAUGAAAGGGGGGAGUUUAUUACAAAUACAGAGGCCCCUGUUCUCAAACAGGGUGCUCUCUCUCGCAACAGAAAUGAGGAGAUCAAAACUUCAUAAAGUGCUUUAUGUGAUCCCAGUGCUGUCAUACCACUUUCCUGCCCCAACCCACUCUGCUCCUCUUUCCCAGCAGUUUCUUUCCUCCUUAGGUCAAGAUGAACAUGGCUUCAUAGUUUUCUUGGCAAAUGGGGAAAUCAGCUCCUCCACCACAUUUAAUCUGACAUGAUUCAAGACACUUCAAAGAGCCAUCAGAUAGCUUCAAGUUCCCUCCCCUCUGUGUUAAAUAAACGGGUUUGUCAUUCUAGAGAAAUGUUUCCACUUUGGCCUUUGGCUCAAGGUAGCUGCACUGGGAAACUGCUGAUGCAAAACACUUGUCUUUCAAGGCUCUGUCCCUCCUCUUUCCCUGUCUGUGCACACAUACAGCCAAGAAUGUAAUUCUCCACUUGGUGAAUAGUUGGGAUUGUCCCACAACUUUUCUUGGGAGACAUCUAUUCCUGGACAGUUUUCAUGUUUCUAUUCUCCCUGUGUUUUAUUAUAUUACAGAAAAUGGAAGACUUAACUCUUUUUUUCUUCUUCUUUUUUUUUUUUCUUUUUCCCCUGUAGUGUGCUGUAGUUAUGAACAGGAAAUUAAAGUCUAUGUGAAAGAAAAGUGUGGAUAAUGCUCCACUCUCGGGUCAGAUGAGCAGUUGGACUCCUACUCUGUGCUGCAGCUGCCUGUAUCUCUCCCUCACAGUGCCAUUCACAGUCCCACAUAGACCUAUGAAAAAUGUUAGUACAGGUGCUGACUAGGGGAGAACUCUCGUCUGAGUUAAAACCAGUCACCAAAACCACCAAAACUGAGUUAAAAACAGUCACAUGAAGUAAGCUGGGAGCUGGCUGGAGAGCUUCCAACCCCUGGGAUUUGACACAACUGGCUGCUGACCCUGGUGCUCCAUAGAACAUAAUGACUUUUGUGGAUUUACUGGAGGUCAGGCAGUUCAUACAGGGGACUGCUCAGCUCCGUAGCUAUAAAUCUUGGAGAUAGAUGCUUUAGCAUUGCAUACAGCUUUUGCAUAUGGUUUUGUGCAAAAUGUUCAGAGCCCCGAGGGCUCUUUGAGCUGGAUGCCGACCACUGACUCCUUUAUCUGACACUCAUACAAGCAUAUUUGCUUCUUACUGCAAGAAGUGCUUGGCCACGGUAACAGUUACUGAGCUGUAUGUUAAACUGAAUACUCUGAUGCUGCACAGAGCAUGCCUUGGGAAAGCAGCACUGCACCUGGGACUUUGGCAAAGGAACAGCCAGGUAAGCUGUCCACAAACCUAUGGUAAGAGGCAUCCACACACAAUAACUGCGUGGUUCUGGGGGGUGGCUGAGGGCAAGAGGCCACAGCACAUUGCCUGCAGAAGGUGGUGGAGCUGUUCAAUCUGGGGAGCAGCUCUGUGUGAUUCUCCUGAGACACAUCUUCUGUGUUUCAUACUGAGUUCUCUCCGGGUAGAGGUGACUAUAUACACUCACAUGCAUGUACCAGAGCACUCAUAUUGUGUGAGAAGCUCUAUCACCUUGUUGUUGCUUUUCAAGUAUAACAAGCAGCCUUGCCCUACUGAUGCCCUCCUACCACCAAUAAUGCAUUUAAUUUUCUCUCAUCUGAUGCUGUAACAGUGCUAGAGGAAAGGCUUGAGGCAUCUUCAAGUUACUGGGUGCCAGUGGCUCUGGCAACGAAUCAGAGAGUUCUAUUGCUCAUAGCUUCAAAAAACGGUAUGUUCUGGAGGGAAGUUGUUACCAGCUCUGUUUGAGGACUUGUGCUAUAGCCAGGGUGUUGGCAUGCAGCGUGCGCUUUGCUUUUCUCAUUGGCAUCCUUGCUGGUGCUGCAAAACAUCACACUACUGAGAUAAAAAUAGGCUCCCUGAAGUGAAAAGCAGCAGGAGGUGCGAUUGCUUUCCUUGCAUCAGCCCAGCAGCUCCAGUUCUGGUUAGCUGGAAAUUCAUAUGAGGUUCCUGUCUGCCCUGAAGCAAGCUUGUCUCAAAUGCACUGCUUGUUGCUGGGCGAGCUCAAAGUCAUGGCAGGUCCAUGGUGCUGCCAUGAGUUGAAUGCGGAGCUUACUCUGAAUGCAAAACAAUUUUAAAACUAACUUAGAGACAAGUUCCUAUGGCUCACCUCAAUAGCCUCUACCUGCCAGAUGGCUGCAUGCGCACUCAUGCUGCCAGUGCCUGCUGGAAUCACAAGGACUGUGUCCUCCAGCAGUGCUGCUUACAGAUAGGAGCCUUUGUCUUGCUCUUUUGCAAAGCUGUAUGAUUAGCUCAUCAGUUUUCAACCUGAGGUGCUCAGUCUUUUGCUUUCCCUCUCCCCCUUGGUGCUGUUAGUAUCCCAUGCAGGAACACAGAGACACGGUGUGUUGUAUGCAUCUGUUCUGAGCAGAAAGCUCGUAUAUGUUGGGGUAGAAGAAAUCACGCUUAAACAGAAUUAAAGCUGUUCUAUAGAGGGCAUGACUUCAAAAAUUGCUGCCUUGGGAGGCAAACAACCCUAUUUUACUUGCUCUAAAGGGACAUAGCGUUCUCGUUAGUGAUCUUGUUUUCUCUCAUCCUGCUCUAUUAUAACUACUGAGAUGCUUCCAAAUAUUUCCCUGUUGAGCUGGUCUCUUAUUUAACAAGUGUUGAGCCUAACUGCACUGCGUGUGUGUGUGUAGCUGCAGGCUAAUCCUGCUCUCCUGCUGUGUUUCUGGAGAACUGGAGAAUGCACAGACCAAAAUGUAAGUUUUCAUAACUCUUAUCAAAGGUUGGUAGCAAGGUUAAGGGAAAAAAAUAAAUUAUGCUUCUUCCUAAGCACUGAGUGAACACUGAGUUGGGAUAGAGUGGGCCCUUGACCAACCUGUACCUGGAAAAACAGAUAAACAGAUAUCAGAUUUAUAACACCGCUCAACACUAAUUUGCAAGCAAGUCAGCUUUCCUCUGUGACCUGGAGUCUCAACCCUUUGUUGUCCACCUUGUGUCUGCUACCUGAGUCUCUGAGGCUAAGGCAACAGGACUACAUCAUGACCCUGCAUGCAGAAAAGUAAGAAAUGAUCAAACUGUGUAGACAGGCACGUUAUUUUUAUAUAUACACUGGCCAGAAUGAAUGCAUCUUAAUCCUAUGCUUUUUAUUUGCGUGUGCCUUUCCUGUGUAUGUAGUAGGGAAGUGUGCUUUUGCUCAUGAUAUUGGACUUACUGGAAAUUUCAGUAUUAUGAUAGCUAUGAAUAUUAUGGUUGGACUAGAUGAUCUUAGAGGUCUUUUUCAACCUUAAUGAUUUUGUGAUUCUGUGAUUAUACCUGAGGGGGUAGAGAGGAAGGAACUGGUUUCCAAUCUGCAUGCAUAUUUACCUCACUGGAAAACCAUUUCCUACUACAUUUAUUGACCUGCUAGACUAUUUUCAAUCACAGGUAGAAGUGGCAGGUUUCAUAUAAAGCUGACUGUUUCUUCUUAAUGCUUUUAUUGCUGAAGUGUGCAUUCAUCCACAGAAUGUGCAGCAGAAGUGAAGCUAGAAGAGCCUCGGGAGGUUAUCUCUGUUCCUUCCUCAUCAUCGGGGUAUGUGGGAAGCACAGAGGAAGAACAUCUCUGAAGAAUAUGGUGAAGAUUAUAGUGAAACGUCUGUCAGUAACAACAGCAAACUUCCAAGAGCCAUCUGUAGGAUUUAUGAUGAGAGUUGAAGAGGAAGUAAAGUGCUAGCUAACGACAAAUGAUACAACUGAGGGCACUCAGUCCUAGAAACUUCUCAGUUUCACUUGGGCCAAUUUCAGAAUGGGUUUUCAUCUCUGACUGCAUGACUCUGAUGUGUGGUACAGGCUUUAGUUCCAAAGCCUGAAUUGUAAACUUGGCUGCAGCCCUUAAACAAUGUGUGAGUGCUGCAUUGACCCUGUAGGAGACCUGCCUAUCAAUCCACUAGGGAAUGAUAAAACAAACUGUAUAGCAAUGAGCUGUGGAAUUUGGGCAAGUUGUAAUGAAAGAAACUUGUGAUGCUGUGGUAGUGGCAGCUCCCGAUUCAAAGUUGAUCUCACUUUCUUCAUGCGCUGCAAAAUCUGUGAGAUAAUGAAGUGAAAUGUCACAGCAGUAGCAUAGAAUCCUAGAAUAGGUUGCGUUGGAAGGGACCUCAGAAAUCAAGUCCCAACCCCGUGCCGUGGGCAGGGCUGCCACCCAGCAGAUCAGGCUGCCUCAUCCAACCUGGCUGUGAGUCCCUCUGGGGAUGGGGCACCCACAGCUUCUGUGACAGAAUGCAUUACAGGGAGAGGCAAUGAAUGAUACUGAAGCUUUAGGUUCUAGGGAGAAGGAUCAAAAUGAUCUAGAAAUACAGGGAAGUGUGACAGGUAUCUAAGGGUAAGUCUGGCACUCUGCAGGGAGAGACUACAGGGAGAGAGAUUCAGUAGGCUGGAAAAGGUAACUGAGGAGAAAGGCAGUGGCUUUAUAGGCUGCCAUAAAGGGCACAGAAAAGUUAAGAAGGAACUAAUUUUUGCAACAUAAGCAAUAGGGAUAUCAAAAGGAAGUAUCGCACAUCAACUUGAAAGCAAAAGUAUUUAGUUGGAAACUGUUGAUACAAAAUGUAGAUGGGGAGGGGAAAGUAAGGGGAAAGGAACAGAGGGAAAACUUAUGAAGGCUAGAUCUUGUAGAGGUUAUUUCAGUUGUGCUGAUUUGAGAUGAUGUUCCUUCUCCUAGCUCUUCAGUGAACUUUUCUUUCCCUCCCCCUCAACCUCUCCCCUUAAUUUAUUCUGCCUUAUAUACGUUAAACUUUUAUUGUGAUUAUGGGAGUUAGAAAUGAAUUAUACAGAAGGAUCCACACUGACAUCUAGAUGAAGGGUGGUGGAGAAAUCCACCAUCAGCCUUUAGGAACUCUUUGGGUGAAUUCGAAUGUAUGGAGCUUUCACUCUCCAUGUAUUUUCAUAAUGAAGUAAUGCCUCUGGAGAAAGUCUUUAGAUGAUAUUCUGUAUAGACCCUUGUUGUCUUACAUCACACCAGUGAUAAGAAAAAAAGUUCCCAAUGUAGCAUGUCAGGGAACUCUGAGGUGGAAGGGAAAGGACAGAUAAGAGAGGGAAUGUCUAAGGAGUACUUAGUACACUCCACAGCUAUCUUCCUCUGAGAGCACACUUAUAAAAGCACACAGAAAAUCUCUAAAAUUAUGCCUAUUACAGCUGAGAAUAGCAGUUUAACUGUUACAACUAUUUAUAUGCAGGACAGAGGAAAAUACUAUAUCAGAAAUAGGGCUAUCAGUCAAACUUUUGCCUCAACAGGAGUCUAAUAGAUGUCUCCCUAGAGCAUCCUCCAGCACACAGACUCACUACUCUGUAAUAGCAUUUGUUAUGGCUGGCAGUUUUUCAAGGCUGGGUAUAUUAAACUAGAUUCCUAUGUCUAUUUAUAUGCCAACAUACUGAAACAGUAUGAAAUCAACUGAAAUCUUAUUUUUUUUCUCCACUCCUCCAGAACCAAUGAGCAACAGAAGUCAGUGCGUGCCUGUUUCUAAACCAAAUAGCUUCUAUUGAGAAAUCUAAAACAUAGAUUUGGUCUUUCAUGCUGACAUGCCAAAUUUUAGGAUGACGGUAUGAUGGGGGAGAAAGAGGUUGGAAAAUUCAGAGAGCCAAAAAAGAAAAUCCCAAAAUAUUUUAGUCUCCUUUACAACUGGAAAUACUUAACAAUGGAGGUGGAAUAAUGACAAUUCUCUAUCCCAUUUCAUUUUCAAUUUAUUAAUUUUUAAGUACUUCAGCAACUUUUCAGAACAGACAAAGAAAACAAAAUGUCUACACUUGUAGGCAGACUUCAGACAGUUGAUGGUAAGCAAUGAACUGCACAAAUUCCUACUGGCCCGAAGUAGGACAGUUCUUGGAGGACAAGAGAUGGAGGCUUUGCUUGCUGCCUUAUCAGGACUUGAUCCCAUUGCAGCUGCAUUACUGGCAUUGAGCCUCUCUAAAAUGUGAGCAGUUGCCCUCUUUUCUGCCUUUCCAUAGAGUAACUUGUAUGAGAUUUGCCUACAUAUGAGAUGUUUCUCAAAUGUGUUUUUACAGUGUUGUGCUUGGAUUUGCUUCUAGCUGUGCUGUGAAGUACCCUGAGGUCUCCUGUGGUUUCUCCAAAGCUUUGGGCCUGUGGUGAAAGUGUUGCUUUGUUCCAUCAGCCAUGGUAUUUCUUAAAUGAUAGAAUUAAAUACUUCUUAAAUGAUAGAAUCUCUAAGGUUGGAAAACUCCGCUAAGGUCUACUUCAGCCAUCAAUGCAGCACCAUCAUAUCACUAAAGCCCUCAGUGCCUCAUCUACACAAUUCUUCCAUGGGCAGUAACUCCAGUACCUCCCUGGGCAGCCAUUGCAUUAAUAAUCUUUGUUUCCUAAUGUAUCCUACAUUUGUAUUCCUAAUGUUUCCUACAUAUCCAACCUGAAUCUCCCCUGGUGCAACUUCAAGCCAUUUUCUCUAGUACUAUAGCUAAUACUUGGGAGAAGAAGCCAACUCGCACCUCACACAAUCUCCUUUCAAGUCAUUGAAGAGAGCUAUAAGGUCUCCCCAGAGCCUUCUCCAGAAAAAAAAAACAAUAGGCUAAACUUGAUGCCCAAAGUCCAAGCUACAGUCAAGCUGCAUGCUGCUUCCCUCUAAAGAAGAUGAACUGAGCUGUUUGAUUUUGAUUGAAGCUUCAAGAAUGUCCUCGUUUACAAGAUAUCUUCAUGGGCAUUCUGGAGGCUUUCCAUAUAAAUGUUCUCCAAACAUAUGUAAAAGCAGAACUCUCGUAAGCUUCAGCUUGGUAAAACUGACUGAUAUGCAAAAUGCUGAAGCUUUAAAUGAGGCUGAAAUGAAACUGAGUUUUAUGAGAUUCUGAUGAACAAGAUCUGGCCUAGUGGAAUAGGAAUGUACUUUCACAAUUGGCUCAUCCUCUAGAUGAACACAGCAUGUCAUACGAGAAUUGUCCUAGUCCAUUGUGAAAGCCCCUAUAAAGCCUAUUAUUAAAGAUGAAUUUCAUACUUUGCUUUCUUAUUCCGCUGUGACUUGAUAAUAUCCAGAACAAUCCCAAGGAGAUGAGUUCAGAGCUGUCGCGAUACAAGGAUGCCACCCUUACAGACUGGGAAGGAAAGAUGGGACAUCCUGGUGAUGGGAUGAGACGCAGAAACACCACCAGCAGCUGCCACUGGAGAGUUAUAGCCCCAUUAAAAUCCAUUAUUUGAGUUGAAGUCCUGGACUUAUGAACUGAAAGAAAUCUCUCUAAUUGUCAUGACCAGCUGAUGGUGUAUGAAGGAUUUGGACUAACCAAAGAGUUAAUAUGUGAGAGAGCACUUACCUUAAUGCUGGGUGCCCAGGAUAUAAACCGAAGGCUACUAAAGACUAUAAUUAAGGAUGCAAGGAUCUGCAUUUGGAAUUUAGUGUUAUGAUGGACCACAUCUCUCUCAGGCAAGAGUCAAGCGGCAGCAGGCUUCCCAAGAGACAUGAAGAGAAGGUUUGUCAUCAAGGGCCUCUUAGGUGGAAGAGACCUGCACGCAGUCCAUCCUGACUUUCAUCAUCAUGGAUAUAUGGGAGGAUACUUACAUCAGUUCAUUUUUUACACCCUUUUUAUCUUGCUACUCAUCUCGCUGUCUGAAAUGCAGUUUGAGCAGGUACUGCUGUGAGUACCAAAGCUGCCUUGUGCCAUAAAGAUAACAGGAUCUUUGGUUACAGAAGUAUUUACUGAAAUGGCUUUUCUUGUUCUCCCACUGCCUCCAUCCUUUCUCCUCCCACAUACGUAGACAUUUAGAGAGCUGUUUGUUGAAGUAAUCUCACUGGAGUAUGAGAUACACAUUCAUACAGAGCGUGGGAGCAAUUUGGCCGUUGCAAUAGGCUCCGCUUCUAUAUUCUGGGUAGGAAGUGAUGUUGCAUAGGCAACUGGAGACACACCUCUUGAAAGAUCUCAGAGCCCUCUUAGCAUCCCUAGCAUCUUCAAGUAUCAAGUGUUUUAGAUUAAAAAUACGUCACUGGAAAUAAUAAGUAUAGGUGCUGAGUGUCAAAUUGUACUUGGCAAUGACUACAACUACAGUAUUUUAUUUUCAGCAAACUUAUGUGGCCAGAAAAAAAUCUUUUAGCAUGUUCUCUAGUAGCAGCUCCUCAUCCUUCAUUUCAAAACUGAUAAAUCUGUGGGAUAACGAGGCUUCAAAAUCCUUCUUGAGGAGCUGUAUCAGCAGCCAAUACAAAGUGAGAUGGAAGGCAGCAGCCAAUGUAAGUAAUGAUCUGGAUCUUUCCCUGUCUGCUUUGCAAAGAAGACCUAUUGCUAAAGUAGUAUUGAAGAUUACAGGCAGGUAAAAUUGUAAUUUUUUCUGCUUUUCCCCUAAAGCUAUUGCCAUAAGAUAGUGUCAGGGUAGUCUUCUCUGCUCUCAUGUAUCUAAAACUAUAGCAAGUUAAUUCACUGCUCACUCCAAGCACUUCUCAUUAAGCAGUAGUCUGCAUAUCUCUGCAGUUCUCACCAUCACUAAGCCAAAUACAGAAACGUUCCUGAGGGAUGACUGUUGCUCUAAGCAAAAGCCUAACAAAAAAACUAGUUUAAGAUAAAUGUAUAUCAGGAAGAACAAUUGGUCUCACCAUGUAAAUGACCUCUGAUUAAUUAAUAACUAUUUUCUGGAACUGGACGCUUAUAAACAGGAAGCAGAAAGCCAAACAGUUCAGUCUAUCUGUGCUAACAUUUGCUUGAGAGCUUGGCUCCUAUUACUAGAGAGUUAUGCCUUUUCCUGGGGCACAGAAAAAGGAUAAAAGGAACCAGUUAUAAAAAGUUUAGCUCUCAUCACAUGAUCCAGAAGCCCCGCUGUGAAUGAAAGGGAAAUAGGGGAUGUGUCAUACAUCAGCCCUUAAAGUUCUCUAUAGGUUUCUCCAAGCCAGCUCUGCCAAUUUCAAGUAUUUAAUGGACUUCUUUUGUUAAGCAUUUUUUUUUGUUGCCUAGACUCAUCCUCUGUAUUACUGACAUCUGAGGAAAGUAAAUACUGCUCACUUGCAGUUUUCUUUCUCAUGCUAACACUUCUUGUGAGCAGUGAAAGCUGAUGAUGGUCGUAUUGCAGUUAUUUAUGCCCUGUUUAAUUUGCUCUUACUGGAGCUGGUUGAGAACACCUAACAAACUAAGUUUGGAAAAUGGAAACUUAGUAUUAGGCAACUGAUUCAAAAAUAACAGCUUUGACAUAAAAUUAAUAAAUAAAUCAAAGAAUGCUUCUUACCUGAGAAAUGCCACUUUCUGAAAAGCAUGUAGGAGAACACCACUUAUACACAACUUAGUGCCCAGCCUCCACGCAUCUAAGAUGUCAAGAUUCACGUCCUUCCUAAAUUGGUAUUAGCUCAUGUCCUUAUUUUUUAGUACAGAAUAUAUGGAUAUCUGCUGUUCUUUUGAAGAAAAAAAUGCUUCCAACUCUCUAAUGCAGACAUAUCAAUCCUACCAGAGGGCUGUUUCAGACAAAAUUAAU